GACGAACGCUGGCGGCGUGCUUAACACAUGCAAGUCGAACGACGAAGCCCAGCUUGCUGGGUGGAUUAGUGGCGAACGGGUGAGUAACACGUGGGCAACCUGCCCCAAACUCUGGGAUAACUCCUCGAAAGAGGUGCUAAUACCGGAUACGAACUAGACAGACAUCUGUACUAGUUGGAAAGUUUUUCGGUUUGGGAUGGGCCCGCGGCCUAUCAGCUUGUUGGUGAGGUAACGGCUCACCAAGGCUACGACGGGUAACCGGCCUGAGAGGGAGACCGGUCAGACUGGGGCUGAGACACGGCCCAGACUCCUACGGGAGGCAGCAGUGGGGAAUAUUGCGCAAUGGGCGAAAGCCUGACGCAGCGACGCCGCGUGAGGGAUGAAGGUCUUCGGAUCGUAAACCUCUUUCAGUAGGGACGAAGCGAAAGUGACGGUACCUAAAGAAGAAGCACCGGCUAACUACGUGCCAGCCGCCGCAGUAA
This 482-nucleotide ribosomal RNA is filed under the name uncultured bacterium. Its description in RNAcentral is "partial 16S ribosomal RNA". It matches the Rfam family "Bacterial small subunit ribosomal RNA", at positions 28 to 523 of the family's 1533-position model. The record is from RNAcentral.